Long non-coding RNA from Megalobrama amblycephala (Wuchang bream), 2158 nucleotides. RefSeq lists it as uncharacterized. The record is from RefSeq and is a predicted model, not a curated record. The transcript is spliced from 6 exons. Lineage: Eukaryota; Metazoa; Chordata; Actinopteri; Cypriniformes; Xenocyprididae.
UUAACUCCUCAUUAGUGAAUAUUCAUCUGUGUGCCCUCUUUCAUGCACAGGAUAUUAGGCGCUAUGGUUUUAAUUCUAUACUUGAGCCUCUAGUAAAUGAUUUGAAAGUGCUUGAGAUUGAAGGGUCCGUGUACCUUCGUAUAAUUUGUUUUUUUGUUUUUGUCUUCUAAACGGAAAAACGAAGAAAGCAUUCAUUUAUCACAUAUUCGACCCUCCUCGUGAGCAUAAAUAAACAAAUCUCGAGUCGUUUUUUUCAUAUUUUUAUUUUCGUUUUAAUCACACUUUGUUCUAAUCCACCAAAAGGAAAAACAAUAAAACCAAAAUGGAUAAACGGCUUGAAUAUUCGAUUUCUACAUGGGCGGGAAUAAAACGCCCCUUUCCGCUGAUUGGUCAACCAAAGAUCAAGCCGCGCCAUCAGUUCUCAGCUCCAGAAUCAGAGCAGAGCAGAAUUGAUUCAAGGGUCAAGUCAUCUUCAUUUAUAUAGCGCUUCUUACAAUACAGAUUGUUUCAAAGCAGCUUCACAGUGAUAAUAGGAAAUUAAUAGACAGCGUUUGUUUUGGCUUUACAGCAGCUAUUAAGUCUAUCGAGCUAAAGUUUUUGAUUGAAUCACUUUCGUUGUAAGAAUCAAUAAUUAUUAACUUAAAUGACGCUUAAAUGACACAUUUUUAACUGAAAACAGAACAGAAACAGAAACUUUUAAUGCGUCUUGCCAUUCAUUACGUGUUUAAGGGUAGACUAUAACAUUUUGAACAAUAAAGCCAGAGAUGAAUAUAUAUUUUUAUAUUUAUUGCCAUCUAUUACCAUCAAAAAAUUAAUUAGUAAAAUAAGCUACACAGCAAAUUCAUCAGUGUUAAAUUUCAAGUGUUAAGCCAAUUUAGAGUAAAGUGUUGAAGUUAUAGUGUAAAAUUUAGAGAAAUUAACACUAUCAGUGUGUUAAAAGCUUGUUUGCUUCAGUGUUAUCACAGAGUUACAGGUAUCCAACACCCCCUGGUGUUAUUUGCAACAUCCGGGCAUUUAUUCAGCGAUCUCGCUGAAAGAUUUUUCCAGACGCCAUUUUCUCGUGCCAUGCGGAGGAUGAGAAACGACAACUGGAACCAACCGGAUCAUGAGACACUACUUUUAAAAUUUUCUUCUUCAGGGUAGAAAGAUAUUGCUGUCAUCCUUAGAAGUUGACUGGUGAUCACCCAUCUACAAUCCUUCCUGAUGAAUCACACACCAUCCUCAGAGUGUUUCCAAGGCUGCUGGACACUAAAGAUCUGAUAGCUCAAGGUUUUAGACUCCUCUUUGGUCCACAAACAGCUGUCAAACUGCUGGAGAAGUGGCCUACAUUCUAUAAGGAAAAGGUGAUCAGAGAAGCAGAGAACCUUGACCUUACUACCACCUCAGUGCUCCAGAGUUUGCUGAAGUCUGCCAGGAAUCAGUAUCAUGAUGAAUCUUCAGAAGAUCACCCAGAGUGGGACAGUGAUAUGACAUAUUUUUUGCUGCUUCUGGAUAUCCUGCCACCACAACAUUUAAAAAAGAAAAAACUGAAGAUCAGCGCAGCUCAGGUCAUGAACCAUCUAGCUGUAUUUCACAAGUGAAUCGGCAGCGUAGAAGAACACUUGGAGAAACUGGAGGGACAUCGCCAGCCAUAUCUCCUUGCUUCAGGAACUCACAUGUGGGCCAUCAGCAGUUACUACGUUGUGAUUGACCCGAUGCUCAUUCCAUGUAAGGGAACCAUGUCGUUGGCAGCCUUUGAUGAACUUUUUAAAGCGCACUUCGUUUUCAGCUCUGAUGAUGCUCUCAGCAACGUGUACACAUUCCUCCAGACAACAGUCUACAGUAUAGAUGUUGACACCACUGAAGAAAGUCCAAAGGUGAAAGAAACUGAGAGCCAAGCUCAUGAACAGGAACUAAGUGUUACGUUUGCAGAGUAUUCCAUAAUGCACCUGUCAUGUUAUGUGAAGCUUUUGAUGAUACUUGAAACUCUUCGAUUUUUGAUUGUUUUAUGCUUACAGACUGUUUUAUAUUGUACGGCUGCAUCAUAUAGACUGCAAGCAGCAGGUAUGAGCUUUGUUUGUUGAACAAGGUCAUUGUACAGGGUAGUUUGAGUGCCCUGUCCCUGGCUUAAAUGAAAUGUGUAGCUCUGUUAAAGGAAAAAUAAAAUGUAUUCAUUGCA